RNAcentral lists this ribosomal RNA (451 nucleotides) under uncultured bacterium. Its description in RNAcentral is "partial 16S ribosomal RNA". It matches the Rfam family "Bacterial small subunit ribosomal RNA", at positions 29 to 523 of the family's 1533-position model. The record is from RNAcentral.
AGCGAACGCUGGCGGCAUGCUUAACACAUGCGAGUCGCACGAACCUUUCGGGGUUAGUGGCGGACGGGUGAGUAACGCGUAGGAAUCUAUCCACGGGUGGGGGAUAACUCUGGGAAACUGGAGCUAAUACCGCAUGAUACCUGAGGGUCAAAGGCGCAAGUCGCCUGUGGAGGAGCCUGCGUUCGAUUAGCUAGUUGGUGGGGUAAAGGCCUACCAAGGCGAUGAUCGAUAGCUGGUUUGAGAGGAUGAUCAGCCACACUGGGACUGAGACACGGCCCAGACUCCUACGGGAGGCAGCAGUGGGGAAUAUUGGACAAUGGGGGCAACCCUGAUCCAGCAAUGCCGCGUGUGUGAAGAAGGUCUUCGGAUUGUAAAGCACUUUCGACGGGGACGAUGAUGACGGUACCCGUAGAAGAAGCCCCGGCUAACUUCGUGCCAGCCGCCGCAGUAA